UACGGAGGGUGCAAGCGUUAAUCGGAAUUACUGGGCGUAAAGCGUGCGCAGGCGGUUUGUUAAGUCCGCUGUGAAAUCCCCGAGCUCAACUUGGGAAUUGCAGUGGAUACUGGCAAGCUGGAGUAUGGUAGAGGAAGGCGGAAUUCCCGGUGUAGCAGUGAAAUGCGUAGAGAUCGGGAGGAACACCAGUGGCGAAGGCGGCCUUCUGGACCAAUACUGACGCUCAUGCACGAAAGCGUGGGGAGCAAACAGG
This 253-nucleotide ribosomal RNA is filed under the name uncultured bacterium. RNAcentral describes it as "partial 16S ribosomal RNA". It matches the Rfam family "Bacterial small subunit ribosomal RNA", at positions 524 to 776 of the family's 1533-position model. The record is from RNAcentral.